GAUUGCGCCGCUUCUGCUUUCUGAUGAGCUGGGGGAGAGGCAUCCCGGGCAGCUUCUGGCUCGCCUUGCCAGAUGAUGGCAGAGUCCGCCCUGCCUGUCCCCAGCCUAGACGCCUAGCUGCACCAGGCAGGGCAUCGCUUUUGACGAUGGAAUGUGAUGUAGUGAGUGCUGCGGGUUGACUCGUGACCUAGGCUUUGAAGGAACUGCAGCUCAGGACAUGUAAAACUGUUUAGAUGGGAACCCUGGCCUUUCUCAGCUCUAUCGAGAGGCCCCGCCCCGCUAUCGUCUCAGCCAAAGUCACAACCCACUAUUGUGCAAGGGCCGCCUGGGAACACACAAGGUGCAGUCUGCCCUUCCCGGAUCGUGCCACCUUUCUCCCGUGGUUUAGGGCAAUAGUAAUAGAGGACAGGCGAAGAACACCUUCAGGGUCAACUGUGUGUGACAGGUCACAGUCCAUCCCUGAGGCAAGUCAGAGAGCAGGAAGAGCUCC
RNAcentral lists this long non-coding RNA (490 nucleotides) under Cricetulus griseus (Chinese hamster). Its description in RNAcentral is "lncRNA (ENSCGRG00015004693.2)". Lineage: Eukaryota; Metazoa; Chordata; Mammalia; Rodentia; Cricetidae. The record is from RNAcentral.